RNAcentral lists this ribosomal RNA (253 nucleotides) under uncultured bacterium. Its description in RNAcentral is "partial 16S ribosomal RNA". It matches the Rfam family "Bacterial small subunit ribosomal RNA", at positions 524 to 776 of the family's 1533-position model. The record is from RNAcentral.
UACAGAGGGUGCGAGCGUUAAUCGGAAUUACUGGGCGUAAAGGGCGCGUAGGCGGCGCGGUAUGUCACCUGUGAAAUCUCCUGGCUCAACUGGGAGCUUGCAGGCGAAACUGCCGUGCUGGAGUGUGGGAGAGGUGCGUGGAAUUCCUGGUGUAGCGGUGAAAUGCGUAGAUAUCAGGAGGAACACCAAUGGCGAAGGCAGCUCGCUGGGACGUGACUGACGCUGAGACGCGAAAGCGUGGGGAGCAAACAGG